GACGAACGCUGGCGGCGUGCUUAACACAUGCAAGUCGAGCGGAAAGGCCCUUCGGGGUACUCGAGCGGCGAACGGGUGAGUAACACGUGAGUAACCUGCCCCAGACUUUGGGAUAACCCUCGGAAACGGGGGCUAAUACCCGAUACGACACAGCUUCGCAUGGGGUCUGUGUGGAAAGUUUUUCGGUUUGAGAUGGGCUCGCGGCCUAUCAGCUUGUUGGUGGGGUGAUGGCCUACCAAGGCGACGACGGGUAGCCGGCCUGAGAGGGCGACCGGCCACACUGGGACUGAGGCACGGCCCAGACUCCUACGGGAGGCAGCAGUGGGGAAUAUUGCACAAUGGGCGGAAGCCUGAUGCAGCGACGCCGCGUGAGGGAUGACGGCCUUCGGGUUGUAAACCUCUUUCAGCAGGGACGAAGCGUAAGUGACGGUACCUGCAGAAGAAGCGCCGGCCAACUACGUG
Molecule: ribosomal RNA, 462 nt
Filed under: uncultured bacterium
Lineage: Bacteria
Description: partial 16S ribosomal RNA
Rfam family: Bacterial small subunit ribosomal RNA
Source: RNAcentral